Molecule: transfer RNA, 74 nt
Filed under: Bacteroidota bacterium
Lineage: Bacteria; Pseudomonadati; Bacteroidota
Description: tRNA-Pro
Rfam family: tRNA
About the family: Transfer RNA (tRNA) molecules are approximately 80 nucleotides in length.
Source: RNAcentral
CGGGGUGUAGCGCAGCCCGGUAGCGCACUUGCUUGGGGUGCAAGAGGUCGUGGGUUCAAAUCCCGCCACUCCGA